UUUGCCGAUGAGUUCCCUUCAGCCUCUGGAGGUUGCUCUGAACUCUGUUAGUUCUUCUCUCACUUUCUUUUUCCUGCCAGGGUAAUAGGAAUGGUCUGUCCUUUUGUUUCACUGAAACUCUGAAUUUAUAACCUGAUUUUUGUGGACCUGUGGGCUCAAAUGAGAGAGGCCCAAGUCCAAAAUUUUUUAUUAUAUUUUAUUUUUUUAUUU
This 210-nucleotide long non-coding RNA is filed under the name Lathyrus oleraceus (garden pea). RNAcentral describes it as "Pisum sativum (pea) long non-coding RNA (PSAT_LNC003972)". The record is from RNAcentral. Lineage: Eukaryota; Viridiplantae; Streptophyta; Magnoliopsida; Fabales; Fabaceae.